CCUACGGGAGACAGCAGUGGGGAAUAUUGCACAAUGGGGGAAACCCUGAUGCAGCGACGCCGCGUGAGUGAAGAAGUAUUUCGGUAUGUAAAGCUCUAUCAGCAGGGAAGAAAAUGACGGUACCUGAUUAAGAAGCCCCGGCUAACUACGUGCCAGCAGCCGCGGUAAUACGUAGGGGGCAAGCGUUAUCCGGAUUUACUGGGUGUAAAGGGAGCGUAGACGGCAGCACAAGUCUGGAGUGAAAUGCCGGGGCUUAACCCCGGAACUGCUUUGGAAACUGUGCAGCUAGAGUGCAGGAGAGGUAAGUGGAAUUCCUAGUGUAGCGGUGAAAUGCGUAGAUAUUAGGAGGAACACCAGUGGCGAAGGCGGCUUACUGGACUGUAACUGACGUUGAGGCUCGAAAGCGUGGGUAGCAAACAGGAUUAGAUACCCGUGUAGUC
This 440-nucleotide ribosomal RNA is filed under the name uncultured bacterium. RNAcentral describes it as "partial 16S ribosomal RNA". It matches the Rfam family "Bacterial small subunit ribosomal RNA", at positions 338 to 795 of the family's 1533-position model. The record is from RNAcentral.